Molecule: long non-coding RNA, 200 nt
Filed under: Elaeis guineensis (African oil palm)
Lineage: Eukaryota; Viridiplantae; Streptophyta; Magnoliopsida; Arecales; Arecaceae
Description: long non-coding RNA (EGUI_LNC002701)
Source: RNAcentral
GGCUGAAUACGGGCAGGCUAUGGACAAAGUUCUCUGCUGCAAAUGGGGAUGGGAGCAAACUUCCCUAACCUAUGGGGAUUUAUGGGAAUUAGAGUUUUGAUGGGACUUGGGAGAAGGAAACUUUUGGAGAGGCAUAGACUGAAUAUAGAACGGGGCAAUCAUGCAUCAAUCACCACACCAACUAUUUUGGGAUCAAGGCU